This is a long non-coding RNA of Helianthus annuus (common sunflower), 397 nucleotides long. RefSeq lists it as uncharacterized. Lineage: Eukaryota; Viridiplantae; Streptophyta; Magnoliopsida; Asterales; Asteraceae. The record is from RefSeq and is a predicted model, not a curated record. The transcript has 3 exons.
GUGUGUGGGUGAUGGAUUGAGCAGGGGAGAAGACAAACCCUAAAAACCACAAAAUUCCCCAAAUUGGAAGAGAAAAAUGAAGGUUUGAUGGAUGCAUGAGCUAUAUUCCCAACCAUCUACACAAGAUAAACACAUGCAUUAGGGAUCAUGUGGAAGUGGACUCAAGCACGAAAGACUAACGGGUCAAGAGGGGACAAGGAAGCCAAUGCGAAAAUGGACGCUCAAGGAAUGAGUACAUCGGAUUCUUAUGAAAUUUAAGGCGAAUCCGGAACAAGAGAAGGAGAAGGGUUAUUCGAAUGGAUGAAGUUACAUUAUCGAACGUUAUUCAAUCUUUAAUUAUUUGAGAUUAAUGUUAUAUGAUGUUGUCAUUGACUAAUGGCUAAGUUGUAUGUGAUGC